Ricinus communis (castor bean) is the source of this 107-nucleotide non-coding RNA. The record is from Rfam. Lineage: Eukaryota; Viridiplantae; Streptophyta; Magnoliopsida; Malpighiales; Euphorbiaceae.
AAACCCUAUUGUGGGCAACAUCUCAAUAAGUCCUUGUACCUCUCCUACACAUCAUAAAUUGUCUCAUCAUGAAAUUGCACAAACAAAGAAAUAUCAUUACGCAUCUU